UUCGGCCGGUAGUAAAGUGGCGGACGGGUGCGUAACACGUGGAUAAUCUGCCCUUCGGCGGGGGAUAACAGUCCGAAAGGAUUGCUAAUACCGCAUUCGUCAGUCGGGUCUUCGGACCUGAUUGGGAAAGAUGGCCUCUUCAUGAAAGCUAUCACCGGAGGAUGAGUCCGCGGCCCAUCAGCUUGUUGGCGGGGUAAUGGCCCACCAAGGCUUAGACGGGUAGCUGGUCUGAGAGGAUGAUCAGCCACACUGGAACUGAGACACGGUCCAGACUCCUACGGGAGGCAGCAGUGGGGAAUAUUGGGCAAUGGGCGCAAGCCUGACCCAGCCAUGCCGCGUGAGUGAUGAAGGCCUUCGGG
Molecule: ribosomal RNA, 359 nt
Filed under: uncultured bacterium
Lineage: Bacteria
Description: bacterial SSU rRNA
Rfam family: Bacterial small subunit ribosomal RNA
Source: RNAcentral